GUUCUUUCUUGGAUUGCUUACUUGAGAGGAAGUCAGUCACCAGCUAUGGCAUGAAGAUACUCAGGCAGCCUGUCUCACCUGGGAGGAACUGAAGUCUCCUGCCUGCCAGCAACAACUUGAUGGCCAUAACAGAAAUAAUAAGAAUUGGAUUAUCAAGGAAAUGCAAAUCAAAACCAGAACGAAAUAUUACCUCAUCUUUGUAAGACUGUUGUGAAAAGGACUGCAGACAAUAAGUGCUGGUGAGGAAGAGGAGGAAAGGGGCCCUUCGCACACUGUUGGUGAAAUGUAAAUUAGCACAUGAUGGCAACAAUGGAAGCACCUCCAAAAAUUAAAAAUAGAACUGCCAUAUGAUCCAGCAAUCCCACUGAGGGUUAUAUAUCCAAAAGAAUGUGGAAGAGACACCGGCUCUCCCAUGUUCAUUGCAGCACCACUCACAACAGCCAAGAAAUGGAAAUAACCUGUGUCUAUCAACUGGUCUAUGGAUUGAAACACAGAAAACAUGCAGGUCUUUCCCACUGGCUGCCAAGUCACUUCACAGAAGACCAUACCCUGCGGUCGCUGAUGAGGCAGGAGACUUACAUCCCAGCCAGAACUACACAGGCCCAGGCAACUUGGAGUUCAGCACUGCCAGGUGGUUGCUCAAGGGGAAGAGAAAUUAAAUGCUCCUAAAGAAAAUAUCUGAUAUGGUCAUAUUAAAAAAAGAACUUUCAUCUUUGUCAUCAGAGUUUGGAAAAU
Sciurus carolinensis (gray squirrel) is the source of this 735-nucleotide long non-coding RNA. RefSeq lists it as uncharacterized. The transcript is spliced from 4 exons. The record is from RefSeq and is a predicted model, not a curated record. Lineage: Eukaryota; Metazoa; Chordata; Mammalia; Rodentia; Sciuridae.